CCUACGGGAGGCAGCAGUGAGGAAUAUUGGUCAAUGGGCGCGAGCCUGAACCAGCCAAGUAGCGUGACGGAUGACUGCCAUACGGGUUGUAAACUUCUUUUAUAAAGGAAUAAAGUGAGGCACGCGUGCAUUUUUGAAUGUACUUUAUGAAGAAGGAUCGGCUAACUCCGAGCCAGCAGCCGCGGUAAUACGGAGGAGACGAGCGUUAUCGGGAUUUAUUGGGUUUAAAGGGAGCGUAGAUGGGUUGUUAAGUCAGUUGUGAAAGUUUGCGGCUCAACCGUAAAAGUGCAAUUGAUACUGGCAGUCUUGAGUACAGGUGAGGUAGGCGGAAUUCGUUGUGUAGCGGUGAAAUGCUUAGAUAUCACGAAGAACUCCGAUUGCGAAGGCAGCUUACUAAACUGCCACUGACAUUGAUGCUCGAAAGUGUGGGUAUCAAACAGGAUUAGAUACCCUAGUAGUC
Molecule: ribosomal RNA, 460 nt
Filed under: uncultured bacterium
Lineage: Bacteria
Description: partial 16S ribosomal RNA
Rfam family: Bacterial small subunit ribosomal RNA
Source: RNAcentral